CAGCAGCCACGGUAAUACGGAGGGUGCAAGCGUUAAUCGGAAUUACUGGGCGUAAAGCGCACGCAGGCGGUUUGUUAAGUCAGAUGUGAAAUCCCCGGGCUCAACCUGGGAACUGCAUUUGUGACUGGCAAGCUAGAGUGUGGCAGAGGGGGGUGGAAUUCCGCGUGUAGCAGUGAAAUGCGUAGAUAUGCGGAGGAACACCGAUGGCGAAGGCAGCCCCCUGGGCCAACACUGACGCUCAUGCACGAAAGCGUGGGGAGCAAACAGGAUUAGAUACCCCGGUAGUCCCUGUCUCUUAUAC
This 301-nucleotide ribosomal RNA is filed under the name uncultured bacterium. RNAcentral's name for it is "partial 16S ribosomal RNA". It matches the Rfam family "Bacterial small subunit ribosomal RNA", at positions 509 to 807 of the family's 1533-position model. The record is from RNAcentral.